RNAcentral lists this transfer RNA (86 nucleotides) under Pseudomonas fluorescens. Its description in RNAcentral is "tRNA-Leu". It matches the Rfam family "tRNA". Rfam says of the family: Transfer RNA (tRNA) molecules are approximately 80 nucleotides in length. The record is from RNAcentral. Lineage: Bacteria; Pseudomonadati; Pseudomonadota; Gammaproteobacteria; Pseudomonadales; Pseudomonadaceae. RNAcentral also lists the same sequence under 3 other names.
GCGCUCGUGGCGGAAUUGGUAGACGCGCAUCGUUGAGGUCGAUGUGUCCACGUGACGUGCGAGUUCGAGUCUCGCCGAGCGCACCA